RNAcentral lists this ribosomal RNA (410 nucleotides) under uncultured archaeon. Its description in RNAcentral is "bacterial SSU rRNA". It matches the Rfam family "Archaeal small subunit ribosomal RNA", at positions 339 to 749 of the family's 1478-position model. The record is from RNAcentral.
GCGCGAAAACUUUACAAUGMGGGAAACCGUGAUAAGGGAAUCUCGAGUGCCAGCAUAUAAUGUUGGCUGUCCAGAUGCCUAAAAAGCAUCUGUUAGCAAGGGCCGGGCAAGACCGGUGCCAGCCGCCGCGGUAACACCGGCGGCCCGAGUGGUAACCGCUUUUAUUGGGUCUAAAGGGUCUGUAGCCGGCCAUGUAAGUCCCUUGGGAAAUCUGGCAGCUCAACUGUCAGGCUGYUAGGGGAUACUGCUUGGCUUGGGMCCGGGAGAGGUGAGAGGUACCUUGAGGGUAGGGGUGAAAUCUUGUGAUCCUCGGGGGACCACCAGUGGCGAAGGCGUCUCACCAGAACGGGUCYGACGGUAAGGGACGAAAGCUAGGGGCACGAACCGGAUUAGAUACCCGGGUAGUCCUA